GUUUAAUAGCGCCUUCCCUAACCUAGAUCCUGCUCCUACAGUGUGAGCUGCCCAAAGGUAGCAGUUACGCAUCGUGUACCUCUGAGGCAUCGCUUGUGAAUCUGACAAAUAGGCUGAAGUAUCGUGGGUCAAUAUGAUUUCCUUCCUCAUUUUGAUUUAGGAACGUUCUUUGUUUACCACAGUAGGUCAAGUUUCGACUGGGCAAAUCGUGCAGUCGCUAGAGCAACCAGGACCACGUGCAUGAUUAGAUAGGAUCCUCCCAAACUGGACUGCCUCUCCAGCUCUGUUUCAGGUUUCCCCAGAUCCUAGCUAUGAAUGGACACUACAGAUGUGUCACAGAAGCACUCUGUGAGGUGGCUCUGUUAGUUCUAAAGAUUGAUGACCUCAUGUAUAUUUUGACAUCCUUCACAGCAAGACUGACUGGGCACCAGUUGUGGCUACAAGUUUCCUGGAAUGCAGUCCUCAGAGGACAGAUGGAGUACACCCUCAACAGGAGGCAGAAAUACCCCUUCUGCCACAGGGAGCAAAGCAGCCUUUGAGGGAACUGAACAUAGUGCGGACUGAAAAGACCAUCAUUCUCCAAAAAACAGUUGCUGGAGAAGCAAGGGGACACUGCAUUCAUAUAUAUUUGUAACAUAGCCUAAGAUUUUAAAAAUAAGUUUUUAAAAUUAUUCAAAUGCGGAAAAAAAACCUUUUAUUUUAUCAUAUUUUAGACUUAGGGUUCUGUAGUCCAGCCUGGCUCCCAACUCACUGUAUAUCCGAGUGCUGUCUCAAGUUCACACUCUCCCACUAUUGGGGUUUCAGGUACAUCAGAUAGCUUCAUCAAAUAUGAGUCUUUGUUUAAAUUCUAUAUUUUACAUUAACAUAUUAGAUGCUUCGUAUGAUAUUAUAGGCCAGAUGUUGAAGAAAAUGGAGAAAUUACCUGAGGUUUUUGUUGUUUGUUUGACAAGCUCUAACUCCUAUAAUAAUAGAAUAAUAGCCUAGUAUCCGAAGGACAUUAGGGAUUGCUGUGGACCUGCCCAGGCAACCUGUAGAGCCUCCUCUGCGGGCGCAGGACCUGACUCCCAUUCUGUGUAGACGUUGGGUCUUCUCUCCGAGAGUUAGGGAUUGCUAUUUGUCUAGCAAUAGCCUUCCCAGCCAUUGUGAGCUGGGAGUCUCUCAGUCUCUCCACUCUGUGAACCGCUUUGACAAGGGCGCCGCCGCCUCACCGCUGCCCUACCUGUUUCCUGUGCCCACGGGACUUCGUUCCUUCUCACACACUAAUGCACGAGGUCUGCCGUUUCUGAUGGAUGAUGGACUUUCUGCAACCCCACAGCUCACAACAAAGACGGCACCCCUGUUUCUCCUUUCUCUGCGGGCUGCUUGAGGAACAUAAAUCUGUUUCUCAUUAUUUGGUCUGUUUUACAACGUGAAUUCCUACUGAGGUUCAUUGCGUUGGGUAUUACGAGGCAUUUCAUCUCAUCUAAAACUUGCCCUUCCCUAAUGUUUAAUAGCAGCAGUCUGUCUGAAGACCGGAAAUCCUGGUGCUUGGUUAACUUGAACCACAAAUUAACGUUGAAGAGGUUUUUGGGUUCUUUUUUUUUUUUUUUCUUUCUUUCUGUUUUCAAGAAACUGGUACUUUUAUACAACCCUUGGAUAUAUAUGCACUUCAGAGAGAGCCUGAAGUGGGUGGUGCAUGGUGAGAGGGACCCAAAGAAAAUGGAUUCCCAGCUUCAAAGACCUUAUAACAAAAUGAAAGAAGAUAGGUGUUAGCAUUCUGUCUAAGCUCCACCCUCACAGUUACCUGGCAACAGCUAGGUAUGUUCCGCUCCACAGUCACCUGGCAACAGCCAGGUAUUCAUGACACUAUAAAGGGGCUGCUUGCCCCCUCCUCACUUUCUUGCUCUUCUCCUCUUCCCCUUUUGACCCUUCUCUUCCCAUUCCCUUCCCCCCCCUUCCACGUGCUCAUGACCGGCCUCUACUCCUCUCCUCUCCUUUCCUUCCCUCCCGUCCCCUCCUCUGGCCCCUCUCCCCACCACCCCCACCCCAGUCUCUGUCUCUGUCUCUCUGUCUCUCGUUCCACUCCCUUGUCUCGUCCUGACAUUAAACCCCUCCAUGUGGAGCCAUGUUGGCCUGGUGUGAUUUGUCCGGACACCAGCGGUGAUUUCUACCCCAACAAUAGGUGUUGGAGCCAGGAGAUCUGGUUUAAAUCUCAUUUUUCUUACCUGGUGGAACGGUUAGUAAUUUGAGGAAGGCGAUUUACCUUCUGACAGCAACCUUCACCCACAAGGAGGUUAAUAUAACUUACUUGAGAUGCUAACUCAAAGUGCCUGGCACAAUAUAGAUAUUUAAUAAAUAUAUAUUGUUAUUUUAUUAAUAUUAUUGUAAGAAACGGAACCUCAGAUAUUGCCUGUGUUGGCUCCAAAGCCCUAGGCUCAACUGACCCUCUUGUCUCAGCCUUUCAAGUAGCUGGGACUUCAGAUGCAUGCCACACCUCUACUCCCCACCCCAACAUCCAACCCCAUCCGCACCUCUAUCCCCGGCUCAGAACUAUUCAUUAAACCCUGUACAGGGAUAAGAUCAGCAUUGCCAUGACAGGAUUUGUGGCCUCCGGGUGCCUCAGUUCAUGGAGCUGACAUUUAGAACAGAACCUUAACUGCUUUGGAAUCCUUUAUAGGGGAAAGGGUAGGAAGUGUGACUCCUCCCCCGCCUCUGUUGACGGUCAAUUGGCUUUAUGGGAAUCAUAGAAGAGACCUCCGAAGAGAGCCUGCCAACCAGUUCCCAGACAUUGGGUCAUCUAUCACAUAGAAAUCAUAGUGAUUCCCCUCUUUCCUCAGAGCGGACUGCGGUGGUGAGGAGCAGAGAAGAAACUGUCUACGGAAGUCCCCGGUGAACUCAGAGCACUGUCUAAAUGAACCACUGCUGAGAUGGGGGACAGCAGGACAGUUUACCGUGUCAUUCGCUAGGUUCAGACACAAGCUUUCCCCGCUGAGGCAUUCAGCAGAGAGCAGACACACUCUGUUGGGCUUCAGUAUUGAAUGAAAACCACACUGAUCCUUUCCCUUGUUUUACUUCCUCUCUGCUACCUCCCAAACAAAGGGCAGGCCCUCUAAGUGCUUCCUGCUGAGUUUAGACUGAAGGUCUUGGGUUUCAAGUCCAGCUCAGUCCCAGGGAAGGCUGUUAAAGAGUGAGACAAUAGAGCAGGGAGUCUGAGGACACGCAUCUUUGGUCCUCCUGGCUUUCAAACGCAAGCUACCCCCCUUGUUCUCCCUCUCAGGGCCCUCGUAAGAGCAACACACUAGAGACCUUGGAUGGUGCUUUGAGGUUGGGGAGAAUGAAUGGAGAGGCGGUGGCCUGAGGAUGCUCCGGUAUGCUUGGUCCAGCAACUUCACCUUGAUGAGAUAGUUGAGCCUUGCUUUGAAAAGAGUCCUAGGUAACCCAAAGCUCAGGUUAAUCUCUGAAGUAUCCUCUAUGGUGAUUUGAAUGGGCUUGGCCCAGAGAGUGGCACUAUUUGGAGGUGUGGCCUCCUUGGAGUGGGCGUGGCCUUGUUGGAGUGGGCGUGGCCUUGUUGGAGUGGACGUGUUGCUGUUGGCAAGGACUUAAGACCCUCACCCUAGCUGCCUGGAAGUCAGUCUUUCCUAGCCGCCUUCAGAUGAAGAUGUAGAACUCUCAGCUCCUGCACCAUGCCUGCCUGGAUGCUGCCAUUCAUUCUACCGCCAUGAUGAUAAUGGACUGAACCUCUGGAUCUGUAAUCCAACCCUAAUUAAUAACAAUAAGGUCAAGCCCCACCUGCCAGAUUCCACCUCAGUGGAUGGAGAUUCGGUGCUUCACUAUCUAGAUGAGCCUGCCUUCCUUACCCAGCAAAGCGGCUCCAGUGAUCCACACACACCUCGUCUUUGCUUUGGCUGCAACACCUCUCUCCCUUCCUUGGGAAGGUCCCUGUUAUCACCCCUUCAUCCUUCCAUACCCUCCUCAUGAAGCCUUUCAUGGCGAUUCAGUCCCAUUGCUCAUUUUCCCCCUCUCAGGCUUCUCCUGGAGUGUGUGUUUUAUACUACUCUGUCCUCUAAUGAUUUUCUGUUCCUUCCUCAUUAAUAAUUGAGUCCCUUUGUAUUAACCAUUACAUUAAGCACUGUGGCCAAUAGACUAUGAAAACAUGGCCUCUUCGCAGAAAGGAUUUACCAUCAACAAAAAUGUGAAGAAGAAACAUUAUGUAAUACGUUGCAAAGAUUUUAUUCUGAAAAUGAUGAAAGCCAUUGUAGAAGUUUUGAAAUUUUUAACUGCUUUAUUGAGGGACAAUUGACACACAAUAAACUGACACUUGAAAUGUGCAAGAUGAUAUGUUUAGGCGUCUUUACACACCCAAUAAAAUCACCACUACUA
Rattus norvegicus (Norway rat) is the source of this 4359-nucleotide non-coding RNA. The record is from RefSeq and is a predicted model, not a curated record. NCBI's taxonomy places the organism in Eukaryota, Metazoa, Chordata, Mammalia, Rodentia, Muridae.